AACCCAAUGUGAACCAUACCAAACUGUUGCCUCGGCGGGGUCACGCCCCGGGUGCGUCGCAGCCCCGGAACCAGGCGCCCGCCGGAGGGACCAACCAAACUCUUUUCUGUAGUCCCCUCGCGGACGUUAUUUCUUACAGCUCUGAGCAAAAAUUCAAAAUGAAUCAAAACUUUCAACAACGGAUCUCUUGGUUCUGGCAUCGAUGAAGAACGCAGCGAAAUGCGAUAAGUAAUGUGAAUUGCAGAAUUCAGUGAAUCAUCGAAUCUUUGAACGCACAUUGCGCCCGCCAGUAUUCUGGCGGGCAUGCCUGUCCGAGCGUCAUUUCAACCCUCGAACCCCUCCGGGGGGUCGGCGUUGGGGACCUCGGGAGCCCCUAAGACGGGAUCCCGGCCCCGAAAUACAGUGGCGGUCUCGCCGCAGCCUCUCCUGCGCAGUAGUUUGCACAACUCGCACCGGGAGCGCGGCGCGUCCACGUCCGUAAAACACCCAACUUCUGAAAUGUUGACCUCGGAUCAGGUAGGAAUACCCGCUGAACUUAAGC
This 541-nucleotide ribosomal RNA is filed under the name Trichoderma atroviride. Its description in RNAcentral is "eukaryotic LSU rRNA". The stretch from base 168 to 321 matches the Rfam family "5.8S ribosomal RNA". The record is from RNAcentral. Lineage: Eukaryota; Fungi; Ascomycota; Sordariomycetes; Hypocreales; Hypocreaceae.